AUUGAACGCUGGCGGAAUGCUUUACACAUGCAAGUCAAACGGCAGCACGGACUUCGGUCUGGUGGCGAGUGGCGAACGGGUGAGUAACAUAUCGGAACGUAUCCAAUAAUGGGGGAUAACGAGUCGAAGGAUUCGCUAAUACCGCAUACGCCCUACGGGGGAAAGCUGGGGACCUUCGGGCCUGGCGUUAAUGGAGCGGCCGAUAUCUGAUUAGCUAGUUGGUGAGGUAAAGGCUCACCAAGGCGACGAUCAGUAGCUGGUCUGAGAGGACGACCAGCCACACUGGAACUGAGACACGGUCCAGACUCCUACGGGAGGCAGCAGUGGGGAAUUUUGGACAAUGGGCGCAAGCCUGAUCCAGCCAUUCCGCGUGAGUGAAGAAGGCCUUCGGGUUGUAAAGCUCUUUCGCAAGGGAAGAAAACUUAGCCACUAACAUUGGUUGAGGUUGACGGUACCUUGAUAAGAGGCACCGGCUAACUACGUGCCAGCCGCCGCGGUAA
Molecule: ribosomal RNA, 500 nt
Filed under: uncultured bacterium
Lineage: Bacteria
Description: partial 16S ribosomal RNA
Rfam family: Bacterial small subunit ribosomal RNA
Source: RNAcentral